RNAcentral lists this ribosomal RNA (3002 nucleotides) under Salmonella enterica subsp. enterica serovar Typhimurium. RNAcentral's name for it is "partial 23S ribosomal RNA". It matches the Rfam family "Bacterial large subunit ribosomal RNA". The record is from RNAcentral. Lineage: Bacteria; Pseudomonadati; Pseudomonadota; Gammaproteobacteria; Enterobacterales; Enterobacteriaceae.
GGGUUGUGAGGUUAAGCGACUAAGCGUACACGGUGGAUGCCCUGGCAGUCAGAGGCGAUGAAGGGCGUGCUAAUCUGCGAUAAGCGCCGGUAAGGUGAUAUGAACCGUUAUAACCGGCGAUACCCGAAUGGGGAAACCCAGUGUGAUUCGUCACACUAUCAUUAACUGAAUCCAUAGGUUAAUGAGGCGAACCGGGGGAACUGAAACAUCUAAGUACCCCGAGGAAAAGAAAUCAACCGAGAUUCCCCCAGUAGCGGCGAGCGAACGGGGAGGAGCCCAGAGCCUGAAUCAGCAUGUGUGUUAGUGGAAGCGUCUGGAAAGGCGCGCGAUACAGGGUGACAGCCCCGUACACAAAAGCGCAUGUGCUGUGAGCUCGAUGAGUAGGGCGGGACACGUGGUAUCCUGUCUGAAUAUGGGGGGACCAUCCUCCAAGGCUAAAUACUCCUGACUGACCGAUAGUGAACCAGUACCGUGAGGGAAAGGCGAAAAGAACCCCGGCGAGGGGAGUGAAAAAGAACCUGAAACCGUGUACGUACAAGCAGUGGGAGCACCCUUCGGGGUGUGACUGCGUACCUUUUGUAUAAUGGGUCAGCGACUUAUAUUCUGUAGCAAGGUUAACCGUAUAGGGGAGCCGGAGGGAAACCGAGUCUUAAUUGGGCGUUAAGUUGCAGGGUAUAGACCCGAAACCCGGUGAUCUAGCCAUGGGCAGGUUGAAGGUUGGGUAACACUAACUGGAGGACCGAACCGACUAAUGUUGAAAAAUUAGCGGAUGACCUGUGGCUGGGGGUGAAAGGCCAAUCAAACCGGGAGAUAGCUGGUUCUCCCCGAAAGCUAUUUAGGUAGCGCCUCGUGAAUUCAUCUCCGGGGGUAGAGCACUGUUUCGGCUAGGGGGCCAUCCCGGCUUACCAACCCGAUGCAAACUGCGAAUACCGGAGAAUGUUAUCACGGGAGACACACGGCGGGUGCUAACGUCCGUCGUGAAGAGGGAAACAACCCAGACCGCCAGCUAAGGUCCCAAAGUCAUGGUUAAGUGGGAAACGAUGUGGGAAGGCCCAGACAGCCAGGAUGUUGGCUUAGAAGCAGCCAUCAUUUAAAGAAAGCGUAAUAGCUCACUGGUCGAGUCGGCCUGCGCGGAAGAUGUAACGGGGCUAAACCAUGCACCGAAGCUGCGGCAGCGAACGUAUCACCCAAGACAACUUUACGGAGUUGACGAUUGACGGAGCGAAGCGACGUCAAAGCGUUCAUUAAAGUCGAGUUGGCUUAGGGAUACGUUCGUUGGGUAGGGGAGCGUUCUGUAAGCCUGUGAAGGUGUGUCGUGAGGCAUGCUGGAGGUAUCAGAAGUGCGAAUGCUGACAUAAGUAACGAUAAAGCGGGUGAAAAGCCCGCUCGCCGGAAGACCAAGGGUUCCUGUCCAACGUUAAUCGGGGCAGGGUGAGUCGACCCCUAAGGCGAGGCCGAAAGGCGUAGUCGAUGGGAAACGGGUUAAUAUUCCCGUACUUGGUGUUACUGCGAAGGGGGGACGGAGAAGGCUAUGUUGGCCGGGCGACGGUUGUCCCGGUUUAAGCGUGUAGGUGUGUGUUCCAGGUAAAUCCGGUUCACUUUAACACUGAGGCGUGACGACGAGGCACUACGGUGCUGAAGCAACAAAUGCCCUGCUUCCAGGAAAAGCCUCUAAGCAUCAGGUAACACGAAAUCGUACCCCAAACCGACACAGGUGGUCAGGUAGAGAAUACCAAGGCGCUUGAGAGAACUCGGGUGAAGGAACUAGGCAAAAUGGUGCCGUAACUUCGGGAGAAGGCACGCUGACACGUAGGUGAAGUGAUUUACUCACGGAGCUGAAGUCAGUCGAAGAUACCAGCUGGCUGCAACUGUUUAUUAAAAACACAGCACUGUGCAAACACGAAAGUGGACGUAUACGGUGUGACGCCUGCCCGGUGCCGGAAGGUUAAUUGAUGGGGUCAGCGUAAGCGAAGCUCCUGAUCGAAGCCCCGGUAAACGGCGGCCGUAACUAUAACGGUCCUAAGGUAGCGAAAUUCCUUGUCGGGUAAGUUCCGACCUGCACGAAUGGCGUAAUGAUGGCCAGGCUGUCUCCACCCGAGACUCAGUGAAAUUGAACUCGCUGUGAAGAUGCAGUGUACCCGCGGCAAGACGGAAAGACCCCGUGAACCUUUACUAUAGCUUGACACUGAACAUUGAGCCUUGAUGUGUAGGAUAGGUGGGAGGCUUUGAAGUGUGGACGCCAGUCUGCAUGGAGCCGACCUUGAAAUACCACCCUUUAAUGUUUGAUGUUCUAACGUGGACCCGUAAUCCGGGUUGCGGACAGUGUCUGGUGGGUAGUUUGACUGGGGCGGUCUCCUCCUAAAGAGUAACGGAGGAGCACGAAGGUUGGCUAAUCCUGGUCGGACAUCAGGAGGUUAGUGCAAUGGCAUAAGCCAGCUUGACUGCGAGCGUGACGGCGCGAGCAGGUGCGAAAGCAGGUCAUAGUGAUCCGGUGGUUCUGAAUGGAAGGGCCAUCGCUCAACGGAUAAAAGGUACUCCGGGGAUAACAGGCUGAUACCGCCCAAGAGUUCAUAUCGACGGCGGUGUUUGGCACCUCGAUGUCGGCUCAUCACAUCCUGGGGCUGAAGUAGGUCCCAAGGGUAUGGCUGUUCGCCAUUUAAAGUGGUACGCGAGCUGGGUUUAGAACGUCGUGAGACAGUUCGGUCCCUAUCUGCCGUGGGCGCUGGAGAACUGAGGGGGGCUGCUCCUAGUACGAGAGGACCGGAGUGGACGCAUCACUGGUGUUCGGGUUGUCAUGCCAAUGGCACUGCCCGGUAGCUAAAUGCGGAAGAGAUAAGUGCUGAAAGCAUCUAAGCACGAAACUUGCCCCGAGAUGAGUUCUCCCUGAGACUUAGAGUCUCCUGAAGGAACGUUGAAGACGACGACGUUGAUAGGCCGGGUGUGUAAGCGCAGCGAUGCGUUGAGCUAACCGGUACUAAUGAACCGUGAGGCUUAACCUUACA